AUGAAGCUGAAUAUCACCUUCCCAGCCACUGGCUGCCAGAAACUCUUUGAAGUGGAUGAUGAACAUGAACUUCAUACUUUUUUUGAGAAGUAUAUGGCCAAGGAAGUUGCUGCUGACACUCUGGGUGAAGAAUGGAAGGGUUACGGAGUACAAAUCAGUGGUGGAAACAAGAAGCAAGGUUUCCCCAUGAAGCAGGGUGUCUUGACCCAUGGCCGGGUCUGCCUGCUGCGGGGGAAGGGGCGUUCCUGUUAUAGGUUAUAGAUGAAGGAGAACUGGAAAAGGAAGCACAAGUCUGUUUGGGCUUGCCUUGCGAAGGCCAAUUUGAGGGUUCUUAACUUGGUUAUUAUGAAAAAAGGAGAGAAGAUAUCCUUAGACUGACACUAUGGUACCUUGGCGUCUGGGGCCCAAAAGAGCUGGCAGAAUCUGCAAACUUUUCAAUCUGUCUCUAAAGAAGAUGAUGUUUGCCAAUACGUUGUAAGAAUGGCCUUAAACAAAGAAGGUGAGAAACCGAGGACCAAACCACCCACGAUUCAGCAUCUUGUAUCUCCCCGUGUCUUACAAAAUAAAUGCAGGUUUAUUACUCUGAAGAAACAGCGUACCAAGAAAAAUAAAGAAGAGGCUGCCGAAUAUGCUGAACUUUUGGCCAAGAGAAUGAAGGAGGCCAAAGAAAAGCGCCAGGAACAGAUUACCAAGAGGUGCAGGCUCUCCUCUCGGACAGCUUCCACUUCUAAGUCUGAAUCCAGUCAAAAAUAAGAUUUUUUGAGUAACAAAUACAU
RNA transcript from Otolemur garnettii (small-eared galago), 776 nucleotides. It is a transcript of the gene named 40S ribosomal protein S6 pseudogene, with no coding region annotated. The record is from RefSeq and is a predicted model, not a curated record. Lineage: Eukaryota; Metazoa; Chordata; Mammalia; Primates; Galagidae. The transcript has a single exon.